Molecule: ribosomal RNA, 576 nt
Filed under: uncultured bacterium
Lineage: Bacteria
Description: bacterial SSU rRNA
Rfam family: Bacterial small subunit ribosomal RNA
Source: RNAcentral
GUACAGGAUGGACCCGCGUCUGAUUAGCUGGUUGGUGAGGUAACGGCCCACCAAGGCAACGAUCAGUAGCCGGCCUGAGAGGGUGAACGGCCACAUUGGGACUGAGACACGGCCCAAACUCCUACGGGAGGCAGCAGUGGGGAAUAUUGCACAAUGGGGGAAACCCUGAUGCAGCGACGCCGCGUGAGGAAGAAGUAUUUCGGUAUGUAAACUCUAUCAGCAGGGAAGCGGUACCUGACUAAGAAGCCCCGGCUAACUACGUGCCAGCAGCCGCGGUAAUACGUAGGGGGCAAGCGUUAUCCGGAUUUACUGGGUGUAAAGGGAGCGUAGACGGCAUGGCAAGUCUGAAGUGAAAUGCGGGGGCUCAACCCUGAACUGCUUUGGAAACUGUCAGGCUGGAGUGCAGGAGAGGUAAGUGGAAUUCCUAGUGUAGCGGUGAAAUGCGUAGAUAUUAGGAGGAACACCAGUGGCGAAGGCGGCUUACUGGACUGUAACUGACGUUGAGGCUCGAAAGCGUGGGGAGCAAACAGGGUUAGAUACCCUGGUAGUCCACGCCGUAAACGAUGAUUACUAGGU